GAAGGGGGCUAGCGUUGUUCGGAAUUACUGGGCGUAAAGCGCGCGUAGGCGGGUUCUUAAGUCAGGGGUGAAAUCCCGAGGCUCAACCUCGGAACUGCCUUUGAUACUGAGAGCCUAGAGUCCGGGAGAGGUGAGUGGAACUCCUAGUGUAGAGGUGAAAUUCGUAGAUAUUAGGAAGAACACCAGUGGCGAAGGCGGCUCACUGGCCCGGUACUGACGCUGAGGCGCGAAAGCGUGGGGAGCAAACAGGAUUAGAUACCCUGGUAGUCCACGCCGUAAACGAUGGAUGCUAGCUGUCGGGCAGUAUACUGUUCGGUGGCGCAGUUAACGCAUUAAGCACCCCGCCUGGGGAGUACGGUCGCAAGAUUA
RNAcentral lists this ribosomal RNA (369 nucleotides) under uncultured organism. RNAcentral's name for it is "partial 16S ribosomal RNA". It matches the Rfam family "Bacterial small subunit ribosomal RNA", at positions 527 to 896 of the family's 1533-position model. The record is from RNAcentral.